RNAcentral lists this ribosomal RNA (460 nucleotides) under uncultured bacterium. Its description in RNAcentral is "partial 16S ribosomal RNA". It matches the Rfam family "Bacterial small subunit ribosomal RNA", at positions 338 to 795 of the family's 1533-position model. The record is from RNAcentral.
CCUACGGGAGGCAGCAGUGAGGAAUAUUGGUCAAUGGGCGGAAGCCUGAACCAGCCAAGUAGCGUGCAGGAUGAUGGCCCUACGGGUUGUAAAUUGCUUUUAUACGGGAAUAACGCGCCUUACGUGUAGGGCUUUGCAUGUACAGUAUGAAUAAGGACCGGCUAAUUCCGUGCCAGCAGCCGCGGUAAUACGGAAGGUCCGGGCGUUAUCCGGAUUUAUUGGGUUGAAAGGGAGCGGAGGCCGCCUGUCAAGCGUGCUGUUAAAUGUCCGGGCUCAACCCGGGCCUUGCAGCGCGAACUGGCGUGCUUGAGUCCGCGGAAGGCAGGCGGAAUUCGUCGUGUAGCGGUGAAAUGAUUAGAUAUGACGAAGAACACCGAUUGCGAAGGCAGCUUGCUGCAGCGGAACUGACGCUGAUGCUCGAAAGCGCGGGUAUCGAACAGGAGUAGAUACCCGAGUAGUC